RNAcentral lists this long non-coding RNA (202 nucleotides) under Nicotiana benthamiana. RNAcentral's name for it is "long non-coding RNA (NBEN_LNC022030)". Lineage: Eukaryota; Viridiplantae; Streptophyta; Magnoliopsida; Solanales; Solanaceae. The record is from RNAcentral.
AAAUCACUGUAGCUACCGGAGAAAAUUCAAGGUUGUUGGAAUGGAAAAAUAAAAAUAUAGGUAGGCUCGAAAUUUGAAUACGAUCAGACUGUCCUGAAAUUUUUUUUGAAAUUGUGGCCAGAAUGUGGCUCACGCGCCGGCGCGUGGGAUAGACGCGCCGCCAGCGGCAGAGCUUCGGCAUGCGCGUGGCGGGUGCUUUUCC